GGAAGAGGGAGGCAGAAGAAGAGAAUCAGAGGGAGUUGUGAUCACAGAGGAGUUUUUGGGGAGAUGAAAUGUUGUGAAGGUGGAGGAAGGGGACUACCAUCCAAGGAAUGCAGUUGGCUGCUAGAAGCUGGAAAAGUCAAGAAAAGAAAUCUCCUUGAGCCUCCAGAAAGAAAAGCAGUCCUGUGGACACUUUGAUUUUAGGCUGGUGGACUUCUGACCUCCAGAAUGCAACGUCAUGACCACACUUAAUACAGGGAGACUGGGAAUGUCGUCUAGCUGUGUAUCCAGGAAAAAGAGAGAAACUCUGAUCUUGUGGCGUGAGGAGUACAAAUUGACCUUCGGCCAGUUUCCAGAAACUAUUGCUGCUGUUCUUGCAUACCAGAGGAAAUUCAUGUCGUAAAC
Molecule: long non-coding RNA, 402 nt
Filed under: Equus caballus (horse)
Lineage: Eukaryota; Metazoa; Chordata; Mammalia; Perissodactyla; Equidae
Description: lncRNA (ENSECAG00000045457.1)
Source: RNAcentral